UUUGCUUCUAGGUGUUCGGUGAUUCAUUGCUUGAUUAUCUUUUCCAGAAUCUUCCCCGGUAUUGAGGUCAGGCUGAUAGAUCUGUAGUUUCCUGGAUCUGUUUUUUUCCUUUUUUGAAGAUGGGAGCUACAUCAGCUCUUUUCCAGUCCUCUGGCAGCUCCCCUGUGCUCCAGGAUCUUUGAAAGAUAUAGUUCAGUGGUUCUGAGAUCACGUCUGCCAGUUCCUUCAGAACCUUGGGGUGUAAUCCAUCCAGUCCUGGUGAUUUGAACUCAUCUAGGGUAGACAGGCUACAUGCUACAGUCAUGGAUAAGAACUCCAUUAACAACAAAGAGAAGAAAUGAAUGUAUUAAGGACUCUGGUAUCAUCACAGAGUUUAUAAUUUAAUAUUGUUAGAAAGUGAUAAUGGCUUCAGUCUCCUUUUAUGACAUGUAUUAAUAAAGACCUCGAAAAGUAACAUUAGUUAUUUUUGGCUAGCAGCUGUUGUAAGCAUCACUGCAGAGAGGCGAUAUAUUCUAUAAGGGCUUGUUGUGGUCACCAAGUUUGCCAAUCAACUGGGCUAGGAAAAAUAUCUUAUCAUGCCAUGUUAACCUUCUCCUCUUGCAGGAUGUCUUGUUUUAUAAAAGUUACGACUCCUUACAGCAGAAGACCUUGAACAACACUGAACAAAGGAACUUAGCUACCAGACUUUUAGAAGACAAAGGACUCUCCAUCAGGAAUUCAGAAGAGUUACUUUCAAAAGAUGAAUUCUGCAAAAGAUAUAUAUUUAAUUUAUUGCAGCAGCUAAACUUAUCUAAAAUUUGUCAGCUGUGUGUCUAAUAUAUAAAUUCUGAUCUUUGGCUACAAAUUCUGUCAUCCUCAGCCCAUAUUUUGAGGAAAGGCUCAUAUAAACUUUGCUUCCAAAAAGUUACACCUGUUUAAAUUUCAUGGAAAAUUAUCAUGCUGUAGCAAUAUUAACGUGGUGUCAUUUUAAUAGUUUAACUCAUCUUCAUCAAACCCUUAAAUGGUUGAAGCUGGGGGAAAUAGUCUUAAUUUCCUUACCUCUUUCUCCUAUAUCUGUAAUUAUUUGCUUGUCUAUCCCAACUUUACAAAGACUCAUAAGUUCAAUUUAAUUCUCCUCCCCAUUCCAUUUUCCCAAUCUGAAGUCUCUUUCUUGCUAUAUAGUAGAGCAGGUGUAGAGCGCGGACUAAGCAGUCAGUAUUUCAUAUGCUAAACCAUUAGAAAAAAGAAGAAAAUCCUGCCACUUAAUUGACAAAGAAGAUAGAGAGGUGCAGAGGGGAAUCCCUUUCUGGGGUUUUAGUUUGCAAAAAGGCCAUGGUGGCUGCAUUAGAGGGGAACCACAUAAGUCUAUCUGGAAAGUUACAUAUCUCUAUACCUACAGUACUUUGAUGGUGACCCUGCUUCCAAGGUUUGUCAGUGAAUAUUGGAACUAAAAAGCAAUUGAGCCAGACACAGGAGGGACACUUAGGAACUGGAGAAUCACUGGGGAUAAAAACCUCCAAAUAUAUUCUACAAGAUAUCUAAAGGGCAUCUAAAAGUUUUCUGAGAACAUGCCCGUUACAUUACAAACCCAGUUACAGUAGUAUCAGGUUUACAACUUUCUGUAUAAAGACUUUACAGUUAAUAUGCUUUAUAAAAUAUAGAACUAUGAAUGGUAUUUUUAAAAUAUAUUUUCCUUGCCAAUAAUACAUAAUCUGUUGUAAAAAAUAUAGCUAAAACCGUAUUGAAAAUAUGAUGGUCACAAGUUAGAACAAUAUAAGGAAAGCUACUUGCUGCAGCCCUUCGUCAUUUUUUCCUCAGGAAAAAAAAAGUUGCCACUACUUUUCAAAUAACUUCAUUCCUGUGUAUUUAAAAAUGUAUAAUCUGAACGGUUUUUCCUAAACCAGGAAAUCAAAUCUAGUUUUAAUUCUUAUUUAGCUUAAGUAAUUGUUCAAUAUUUUAUUUUGUAUGCAUGACAAUCCAGCUAUAAUCCCGCACAGUUAGUUCUUAAACUCAGCUAAAAGUUGCUACGUUAUGCUCCAGAGCUGAUUCUAUCCACUUUCAGGAGAAUGAGUGGGAGAAUAGUGGCCAUGGUUUUUAUUGGUGAUGGCUAACAUGGUGCAGCAUAGGAUGUGAAUCCCAUAUUAGACAGUUUCCUGUUGGUGUAAAAUGUCUUCCCUGCCAAAUUGGCUUGGGAGCCUCUGGGAAAGACAGGCUGAAAACUAGCUGCACAUUUAUCUGCCACUGGUGGAGAACAGACCUGAAGCUCCAGGACAGAAUUGGGUUGGAAGGUCUCCCUUUCUCUUGACCUUUUGUCUAGCUUAACCAUAGAUCAGGCCCAUUGUUUCACUUAUCUGAAAUAAAACACUAUUUUGCUAGAACAAAAGGUAUGCUAACAAUAUCUUAAGGUGGGUAAGGAAAUGGAGACAUACAUAUGUAGAACGAAGGUGUUGGGGUCGUAUAAGCAUCCCUUCGCAUUCAUAUAUUUCCAAGAAUGACUUCUUUCUGGGUUCCUUUCUCCAUGUGUUUCAUUGCAAGAUUGUGUUAGGCAAAUAAACAGCCCUCAAUAAAUUCAGUUAAAGGUUUCUGCAUACACUGGAUGUACUGAUUUUAAAUGCUAAAUCUAUGGCUAAUGCUGAAAGCAAUUGUAUCUGAAUCAGUAAAUUCAACCUUAACCAAGAUUAUUUGGAAGUGAAUUCCAUUAAUACUUUGAGUAGAAUUUAUUUCAAAGCUACUUCGUUAAAUUUGUUGCCUUAAAACACUGUUCUGUUUGCAUUUCAUUGGACUUCCAUUUGAAAAAAAUGGCAUAGUAGUGUGCAGCAUAUCAUGGUUAGA
Ahaetulla prasina is the source of this 2811-nucleotide long non-coding RNA. RefSeq lists it as uncharacterized. The transcript is spliced from 3 exons. The record is from RefSeq and is a predicted model, not a curated record. Lineage: Eukaryota; Metazoa; Chordata; Lepidosauria; Squamata; Colubridae.